CAGAUCUUUGGAGAACAAGGACCUAAAGGUGGAAACUACCAGCCAAGAACAGAAUUCGGGAACAGAAAAUGAAAAUCUCCCCGGAGUCCAUCAUUCACAGCAUCUGGAACAGGAGGAAGAAAUGAAAUACCUGCGAUUCCUCCAACGUCUAACAAAUGACAUUUUAAUCAGAGGCUGCGGCUCUAAGAGAACCAUAGAGAAGGUUUUUCAAGAACACCUUCAAAGAAAAGAACGUGACAUUGAUGAGGAGAAAAAGAAACAUCUCAUGGAAGAAUUAAAGGCCGAGCUCCAGAGCAGCACCAAGCUGGACUUUUCCAUCAGUUCCGAGGGGAC
Molecule: RNA transcript, 333 nt
Organism: Xenopus laevis (African clawed frog)
Lineage: Eukaryota; Metazoa; Chordata; Amphibia; Anura; Pipidae
Exons: 5
Source: RefSeq, a predicted model, not a curated record